Molecule: long non-coding RNA, 2436 nt
Filed under: Coffea arabica (coffee)
Lineage: Eukaryota; Viridiplantae; Streptophyta; Magnoliopsida; Gentianales; Rubiaceae
Description: long non-coding RNA (CARA_LNC000082)
Source: RNAcentral
AGCACUCAUAAUAUACCUGUAUAAUACACGAUUGUGCCUAUCAUUUAAAAAUCUUGUGUGUUUUUAUACACUUUAAAAUUAGUAUAAAAUUAUUUUAUUUUUCAUGUAACUUCAUAAAAUAUGUAAAAAAAUUUGUCUCAUUAUAAAGGGUUAAUCACAAAAACUCCCCUAAGGUAUAGCCACUUUUGCUCUUUAUUUCCUAAAGUUAUUUUUUCUUAUCUUAUCCCCUAAACCAUUAGUCAAUUUUAACAUUGUGUAAUAGUGAUGUCAAAAAGAUAUUAAUACCCCUAAGAGUUAACUAAUUUAUUCUAUUACUUAGAUUAAAUAUAUAUAUGUCUGGAUAAAGUAAUGCUAAUGAACUUCAAUUACUGUUAAUGACACUAAUUUUACAUUGAUAAAAGUUGGUCUUGCAAUAAAGUGUAAAUGACAAAAAUUGCUAAAAUAUAGCAUUUUUAAUUUGGAGAAAUCAAAAACUAAGUUCCCAAAAUACUUCACUUUUAUUUUAAAAAAAAAAUCUCAACUUGUUAAUUGAAUUCAAGAUGAUUGUAUUAUAAAAAUAUGCCUCCUCAAAUCAACAUUAAUGAGUAGAUGUGAGAUACAACAUGGUAAAAUAAGUAGAAUUGCACUACUUGUCCCUCACAUAUCAUCGAUGUGAAAAUCUAGUCCCUCAAAAUAAAAAUGAUCAAUCUUAGUUCCUAACAAAUAAAAAAUGAUCCCUUUAAGUCCCCGGUCACUUUUCCAUUCAAUUUUGGGUUAAUUACAUUUACCUCCCUUAAGAUUAGGCCAAACUAACAGAUACCCCUUCAAAUUUAUUACUGUUUAACAAAAGCCACCCUACCGUCUCUAAAACUGUUAGGGAUUCUACUAGUGCCAGCCAAAAAUUAAAGUGAAAGCCCAAAAAUGUCCUUCAAGAUCCACAUGCUAUUAUCUGUCUAUACUUUUAUUCCGAAAAUAGCCUUUUUCAUCCGAAUAAAGAUUAAACAAUGAAAACACUCUAAAAAAAUCCAUCUGAAUGUGGUCUCUUCUAGUUGUGCUUCAGCAUAGAUGGUUAAGGAAAAUGAUCAAUUGUGUUUUUCCAAGUGAUUGAGCACUUAAUUUAUCCUUUGAAUUUUUUUAUUGAAGUUUAAAUCAAUCAAAAUUUGCAAAAUUUUAGUAUUAUAAUGCACAUCUCUAUACCUAGAGAUUAGUCAUUACAAUAGUAUGCCAAACGUGAGAAACUUACUCCAGAACAGCCAAACAUAGCAUCAACAUUUGGAACUAAUCUUCCAAAUUCUCCAAAAAUUACUUACAGAUGAAAUACUCAAGCAUACAUCUGCACCAAAAUGCAUAUUUUUUUCAAAAUAAACAUUACGAGAAAACACGCAAAUGCUCUUCACCAGAAUGCAUAGUUUUAUUACAUCAUUAGCAAUACUAGAUUAAUAGCUGCUGAUGGGACUUAUGAAACAUUGCAUAAGAUCCAGACAGCUAUCCAAUUAUUACUGAUACCACAAAAGACUUGCUAAAAGCAUUAAGUCAACCAAGUUUGCAACCAAAAUAAAGUACUAGGAACAUAGGACUCAAUGCAUAACAUAUUAAGAUGAAAAAGAUUUUCCAACAACUGUGCACAACAGAUGAGGUAAAAGGGCUACUAUUAGAAUGUGCAAAUGUCUCUUCUCCAUUAGAAUUUGCAGCUGGUCUUGUUCCUGCCAUAUAGUUGAAGCCUCCGCAGUAGCUAAUGAAUUAGGAGCAACAUUCAAUGCUGAGGUUGUGGUAGCUUUUGCCUUCAACACCUUUCUCGCAAAUCAUUACCCAGUAGUAGCAUGGAUGCACGUGAACUUCCAAACAUCUUUUCUAAUGCUCUAGUAUUGGUACCACUUAUGUAAUCUAUUGACCCUUGAAGUAUGAAAGCCUUUAAAUAAAUUAGUGAAAAGUCCAUUUAUUGUUCACAUAAUUCUUUAGAGAGUAAGUAAUAUAACCUGAGAAGUCUGAACAGAUUCCUGUGUUCCUUCAAAAGGCAGUUAUCUGCAAUUAACACCUAUGUUCCUCCAUGAAAUAGUCCACGUGCAGCAGCUGUUGUUGCCUCAGAUUGUUAUCCAGACAUUUUAGAACACAUUUCAUUUUUGUCAAGAUUCAGCUUCAGGGAAAAUGAAAUGCUAAAGUGAGUAAAUAUUAAUGAGUUUAAAGAUGUACCAUCCUUCCAAGCUCUCGUCACUUCAACAAGCCAAACAAUACUACUACAAUCUUCUGUUUUGUUUUGGUUAUCAACGGGAUUAGAAAGUAAAAUAUUUGAAUAAACAAGAAUGAGUAGAAUGAUCAAAGUUUAAAGAUCAAAGCUUUGAACCAUGCAGAGUAGAAAGGGUUAAUAUAGGGGAGAGAGAGUGUAGGAGUAUGAUGAUAAUUCGGAUGAUUGCUGGAAUAGUGGCUGGAGUAGUGGCAAAUAUAUAGGAGACUUCUAUA